This 512-nucleotide ribosomal RNA is filed under the name Dacus armatus. Its description in RNAcentral is "partial 16S ribosomal RNA". It matches the Rfam family "Bacterial large subunit ribosomal RNA", at positions 1829 to 2597 of the family's 2925-position model. Lineage: Eukaryota; Metazoa; Arthropoda; Insecta; Diptera; Tephritidae. The record is from RNAcentral.
GUCUUUUUGAGUUAUUUUUAAAGUCUGACCUGCCCACUGAAUUUUUAAAUGGCCGCAGUAUUCUAACUGUGCAAAGGUAGCAUAAUCAUUAGUCUUUUAAUUGAAGGCUGGUAUGAACGGUUGGACGAGGUAUAAGCUGUUUCAUGUAAAUUUGCAAUAGAAUUUUAUAUUUUAGUUAAAAAGCUAAAAUGAGGUUAAAAGACGAGAAGACCCUAUAAAUCUUUAUAUUUUAUAUAGUUUAAAUUUUUUUGAUUUUUUUUAUUUUUAUUAUACGGAGUAUUUUGUUGGGGUGAUGUUAAAAUUUGAUUAACUUUUAAUUUAUUUUAAAUCAUUAAUUUAUGAUUUAUUGAUCCGUUAAUAGUGAUUAUAAGAUUAAGUUACUUUAGGGAUAACAGCGUAAUUUUUUUGGAGAGUUCAUAUCGAUAAAAAAGUUUGCGACCUCGAUGUUGGAUUAAGAUAUAGUUUUAGGUGUAGCUGCUUAAAGGUUAAGUCUGUUCGACUUUUAAAUUCUU